AAAUAUUUUGUUGUAGUGGUCGAGUUCAUCAUAUUUAUAUUAAAAUAAUGGUGAAAUGAAUUAAUGCACGAAUUCACCAAACUUUAAUCUUCAAAUUGUACUACAUGACGAGCCGAUAGUAGAUACACUUUUCAUGAAGUUUUCAUUAUAGUCAAACUGGUGUAUACAUUAAUAGUGACAAUGGAAGAAAGACUUGCGAAGAAAGAGGCACAAAACUGGCUUAAAUGUAUGUUUGCAACAUAUACGACUAGGGAUGUAUUUGCACAAUUAGCCGAUCUCGGAUUUAAAACAUUUUACUCGCAUGUACGGAGGGACAUUCAUGCACAACACGGUAUACUCGAAACAAAGAGGUGUAGUUUAUGUAGUAACCCUUUCAACCAGUGCCGUUUGUGUUCAGAAAUAUGUUAUCAAAUUUGGAACUUCCAUCGGUUUAAAAGAGCAAACUUGAAAGGCCCAUCAUGGAGCAAUACGGAUUGCACAAAAUGGUGCACUGAAUCUUGGGAAGUGGCAAAGUGUUACAUGCCCCCCACUGGUUACAGGGAUAAGCCAAAUGCCGACAUUACGGACUUCAAUGGAAUUAUUAAUGCAAUAUACAAUUGUACCUGGAUGCAGUGCUAUUUUAGUGAUGAUCUUAGUAAGGAUUCGAACAUCUGCACAAAGGCACGAGACAAAGUUAAUGGAUUGCGACACAUACAUGACACGAAAAUAGAUGAUGGGGAUAUGAUCAGCUUCUUCGAUUGUCUUUUAAAUCUUCUUAAUGAUCCUGCAUACCUAAAUAGUUUUAGACCAGCAGUAGAUGCGUGCAAAUACCUUACACAGCUACAAAAAGAUACUCUGCAAUUGUCCGAAAAGGCUAUACACAACACGUUGGAAAACCUCUAUGUUGACCGAAAGGAAGGUAAAAACACUUUUGCUACUUAUAAAAACCGUGUUUGACGACCUAUAUGUUACUAAUC
Dreissena polymorpha is the source of this 956-nucleotide long non-coding RNA. RefSeq lists it as uncharacterized. The record is from RefSeq and is a predicted model, not a curated record. Lineage: Eukaryota; Metazoa; Mollusca; Bivalvia; Myida; Dreissenidae. The transcript has 4 exons.